Molecule: long non-coding RNA, 301 nt
Filed under: Prunus dulcis (almond)
Lineage: Eukaryota; Viridiplantae; Streptophyta; Magnoliopsida; Rosales; Rosaceae
Description: sRNA ncRNA
Source: RNAcentral
CUUAAAUUGUGAGCCAUUGGAUCACAGUCCAAAUGGACAACUGAGAUGUAUUCUUAGGUGUAGUAGAAUUGUGCCAAGUGUAGCUAUCUCAUAGGGUAGUUAAUCAUUGGUUAGAUUGGAUGAUGUAAGAAGGAAUAUUCUGUUUUCCUAACUGUUAUAUUGGCAUGCACAGAUUGUGAAUGACUGUGACAGAUAAUAGACUGAUCUUUCAUCUUCUUCUUCUCCAAGUUUUCUCUCUGCAUUUUUACUUCCUACAUGAGCUCCAUCCAUCAAUAAUCCAAAACUAAACAUGGCAGAUCAU